Molecule: unclassified non-coding RNA, 339 nt
Filed under: fungal sp.
Lineage: Eukaryota; Fungi
Description: partial internal transcribed spacer region
Rfam family: Eukaryotic small subunit ribosomal RNA (bases 1-46)
Source: RNAcentral
AGGUCGUAACAAGGUUUCCGUAGGUGAACCUGCGGAAGGAUCAUUAACACGUAUGCAAACGUUAACCCCCUGUGAACCCGUGGCAAUCCCUAGUAAAUCAUCGCCGAACAGUUUUCGAUUUAGGGACUUCCACAAAGAGUGUGCUCGCAGCGCGAGGCAAGUUGGUGUCUGAAAGUGUCACUGGCUGUGUAAGGAUGGCGCAGUCACGAUCGUUGGAGGCCGACACGGCCGACGACCGGGUCACCGGGCUCACGCUCCUUAAUGUCAGACGCGCCUGCGCUUAAUUGUGCGGCGACCAUAAAACUCCAACAACUGUUAACAAUGGAUAUCUUGGUUCUC